RNAcentral lists this ribosomal RNA (482 nucleotides) under uncultured bacterium. RNAcentral's name for it is "bacterial SSU rRNA". It matches the Rfam family "Bacterial small subunit ribosomal RNA", at positions 30 to 506 of the family's 1533-position model. The record is from RNAcentral.
UUGGACGCUGGCGGCAUGCCUUACACAUGCAAGUCGAACGGCAGCACGGGGGCAACCCUGGUGGCGAGUGGCGAACGGGUGAGUAAUGCAUCGGAACGUGCCCUGAAGUGGGGGAUAACGUAGCGAAAGUUACGCUAAUACCGCAUAUUCUGUGAGCAGGAAAGCAGGGGAUCGCAAGACCUUGCGCUUUAGGAGCGGCCGAUGUCGGAUUAGCUAGUUGGCGAGGUAAAGGCUCACCAAGGCAACGAUCCGUAGCGGGUCUGAGAGGAUGAUCCGCCACACUGGGACUGAGACACGGCCCAGACUCCUACGGGAGGCAGCAGUGGGGAAUUUUGGACAAUGGGCGCAAGCCUGAUCCAGCAAUGCCGCGUGCAGGAUGAAGGCCUUCGGGUUGUAAACUGCUUUUGUACGGAACGAAACGGCUCUUUUUAAUACAGAGGGCUAAUGACGGUACCGUAAGAAUAAGCACCGGCUAACUACGU